UACGUAGGCAGCAAGCGUUGUUCGGAAUCACUGGGCGUAAAGCGCGCGCAGGCGGCGAUCUACGUCUGGGGUGAAAGCCCGGAGCUCAACUCCGGGACUGCCUUGGAUACGGGAUCGCUUGAGGAUUGGAGAGGCAAGGGGAAUUCCACGUGUAGCGGUGAAAUGCGUAGAUAUGUGGAGGAACACCUGUGGCGAAGGCGCCUUGCUGGCCAAUUUCUGACGCUGAGGCGCGAAAGCGUGGGGAGCAAACAGG
Molecule: ribosomal RNA, 253 nt
Filed under: uncultured bacterium
Lineage: Bacteria
Description: partial 16S ribosomal RNA
Rfam family: Bacterial small subunit ribosomal RNA
Source: RNAcentral